This 253-nucleotide ribosomal RNA is filed under the name uncultured bacterium. Its description in RNAcentral is "partial 16S ribosomal RNA". It matches the Rfam family "Bacterial small subunit ribosomal RNA", at positions 524 to 776 of the family's 1533-position model. The record is from RNAcentral.
UACGGAGGGGGCAAGCGUUGUCCGGACUUACUGGGCGUAAAGGGUGCGUAGGCGGCCUGCUGCGUCGGUGCUGAAAGCGCCCGGCUUAACCGGGCGAGGCGUGCCGAUACGAGCGGGCUGGAGCCUUGGCGAGGGUGGCAGAACUCCUGGUGUAGUGGUGAAAUGCGUAGAGAUCAGGAAGAACACCCGUGGCGCAAGCGGCCACCUGGCCAAGAGCUGACGCUGAGGCACGAGAGCGUGGGGAGCGAACCGG